AACGUACGCUGGCGGCACGCCUAACACAUGCAAGUCGAACGCAGUAGCAAUACUGAGUGGCAGACGGGUGAGUAACAUGUGGGAAUCUGCCUUGUGGUUCAGGACAACAUUGGGAAACCGAUGCUAAUACUGGAUAAGCCCUUACGGGGAAAGUUUUAAUGCCAUAAGAUGAGCCCGCAUUUGAUUAGUUAGUUGGUGAGGUAAUGGCUCACCAAGACAAUGAUCAAUAGCUGAUCUGAGAGGAUGAUCAGCCACACUGGGACUGAGACACGGCCCAGACUCCUACGGGAGGCAGCAGUGGGGAAUCUUGCACAAUGGAGGAAACUUUGAUGCAGCGAUGCCGCGUGAGUGAAGGAGGCCUUUGGGUUGUAAAGCUCUUUUGUAGGGGAAGAUAAUGACUGUACCCUAAGAAUAAGGUCCGGCUAACUUCGUGCCAGCCGCCGCCGUAA
This 449-nucleotide ribosomal RNA is filed under the name uncultured bacterium. Its description in RNAcentral is "partial 16S ribosomal RNA". It matches the Rfam family "Bacterial small subunit ribosomal RNA", at positions 29 to 523 of the family's 1533-position model. The record is from RNAcentral.